UCCAAAGCUUCGACUCGUAUCCUAGUAGUAGUAGUAUUUGACUGACUCAAACAAUUCAGUGUUUGAUGAUGAGAGAGGCCGUGGAUGGGGUGAGUGGCUACACUGUGGGACUUCACUAUACACAAGUGUGCAUUCAACUAGCUUGCAUCGUGAGCCGAAUAUGUUAGACAAAAAUCUCCUCUCCUCCUCUUUCUACUGCUACUACUAUUACUAGUACAGUAGUACUGGUAUUCUCUCACUAUAUGAUGCGAUCGCUGUUGUCCGGUCGUCACUUUCACGCGGACUUCCAUACUUCAUUUACAUCAACCAAUUCAAUACCACUCCCCCCCCCCCCAAAUAUCUCUUCUUGUCUUCUUUCUAUCCGUCUUAUAUCGCUUCUUCUUCAAUUUUCAUCUAUUUUGCCAGAGUCCCACCUCCAGUACCAUCUCUGGAUUCAAUCUCUUGCUGAGGGAUUAGCUCUCUCUCUCUCUGCUUCGAGAUUACAAUUUUAUAUGAUGCCUAAAGCUUCUGCCUUGGGGCUUUGGACGCGGAACAAAAUUUGACCUUUUUUGUCACAGUUUUAGUGGUGCUCCUCUCCUUUCUUGCUUUUUUCGCCACUUCCCAAGCCCAAAAGGCCAACACCUCACAUAAACCGUAAUUCGUAAACGUUCAAUCAACUUCAAUCCUACCACACAUAGACCAAAUCCCAAUCCUUUUCCCUUCUUUUCAGGCAACCCAAAAAAAAAACAAAGGAGAACCCAGUUCACAAAAUCAACCAAGAACCACACUUUGAUCCCAAAAUUCGACCUCUUUGUCCGCUUGCUGUUAUAAAGAUCUAAUCUUUGAUCUCUGUAAUCAAGGUUUUCUCGAUUGUGGUCAGCUUCUCAAACUUUAAAAUUAGCUCAGAGUUGAACAGUUUUCAUACUAAGAUUUAUUAUUUCCAAGCAGAAAAUGCAAGACCCGUCGAUAUAUUCACAAAUGAAACCGCAAUUUCCAGAGCAAGAACACCUGAAAUGCCCGAGAUGUGACUCUGCGAACACAAAAUUCUGCUAUUACAACAACUACAAUCUCUCUCAGCCGCGCCACUUUUGCAAGAACUGCAGAAGAUAUUGGACUAAAGGCGGUGCUCUCAGAAACAUCCCUGUCGGUGGUGGCUCCCGGAAGAACACUAAACGCAGCUCAUCAACUACCAAACGCUCUUCCUCAGCCACCUCGGCUGCCCCGUCUACCUCCCCUUCCUCAGCCGCUGCAGUCUCGUCAUCAUCACCACCUCCUUCUACCACUCCUCAGACACUGCCAAAAACAGAGCCUUAUGGGCUUGCUCCGCAGGCACUUCAACCCGGUUUUGAUCAGGACCGCAGGAUGAUUCUUGAUGUGGGUGGGAAUGGGAGCUUUAGCUCCCUCUUGUCUUCAAAUGGGGGGCAAUUUGGGAAUUUUCUGGAGGGGUUGAAUCCAAAUGCAUCAAAUUUGCAGCUCUGUGGGUUUGGUGAUCAUGGCCCGAAUCAAGGUCCGGGUCCGGGUCACCAUCAUGGUGAUCCACAUGCGGGUUUGCAAAAUGGGAGUAAUUCUGAGGAGGGGUUUUUAAGUAAUCAGGGUAAUGGAGACUCUAGCUGCUGGAAUGGGAGCAAUGGUUGGCCUGAUCUUGCCAUUUACACUCCAGGUUCCAAUUUUCAGUAAAACACUAAAAGUGCCCCACAAAAAGGAGGAAAUUAAUUGUUGAGAGAUAGAGGGCUCCGAUCGAAUCUCUGACCAAUUAAAGCACUAAAAGGCGAGAUGAGUUGUGACAUUUUCAAGCGCGAAUUGGAGGAAGAGUGAUGAAACAAAUUUACCCAAUAAGAAUGAUGGAUUGCCGGCACGAUAUACUCCUAUUCAUUAUUCUUAGGCUCAACGUUUUACCUGUUUGCUUAGGCCAUCAGAGCAUUUUACGAGCUACGGUAGCCAGUGAUGAUGGCUUAACAUCAUUGUGCUACACCUUGCUUUAUGACUCAUAAUUAGGUGGGUUUUUUUUUUUUUUUUUUAUUUCGGAUUUGUUUGGUAACAAGAGGAUAAGAAUGAAGGCUUUGUAUUUAAUUUUUGGACCUAAUGAAUCCUUUGCUG
Molecule: non-coding RNA, 2076 nt
Organism: Coffea arabica (coffee)
Lineage: Eukaryota; Viridiplantae; Streptophyta; Magnoliopsida; Gentianales; Rubiaceae
Source: RefSeq, a predicted model, not a curated record